UACAGAGGUCUCAAGCGUUGUUCGGAAUCACUGGGCGUAAAGGGUGCGUAGGCCGCACGGUAAGUCAGAGGUGAAAUCCCGGAGCUCAACUCCGGAAAUGCCUCCGAUACUGCCGUGCUUGAGGACUGGAGAGGAGUCUGGAAUUCACAGUGGAGCAGUGAAAUGCGUAGAUAUUGUGAGGAACACUAGUGGCGAAGGCGAGACUCUGGACAGUUACUGACACUGAGGCACGAAGGCCAGGGGAGCAAACGGG
Molecule: ribosomal RNA, 253 nt
Filed under: uncultured bacterium
Lineage: Bacteria
Description: partial 16S ribosomal RNA
Rfam family: Bacterial small subunit ribosomal RNA
Source: RNAcentral